This 253-nucleotide ribosomal RNA is filed under the name uncultured bacterium. Its description in RNAcentral is "partial 16S ribosomal RNA". It matches the Rfam family "Bacterial small subunit ribosomal RNA", at positions 524 to 776 of the family's 1533-position model. The record is from RNAcentral.
UACGAAGGGGGCUAGCGUUGCUCGGAAUUACUGGGCGUAAAGGGCGCGUAGGCGGCCGAUCAAGUCAGAUGUGAAAGUCCUGGGCUUAACCUGGGGACUGCAUUUGAUACUGAUUGGCUUGAAUUCGGGAGAGGAUAGCGGAAUUCCCAGUGUAGAGGUGAAAUUCGUAGAUAUUGGGAAGAACACCGGUGGCGAAGGCGGCUAUCUGGACCGACAUUGACGCUGAUGCGCGAAAGCGUGGGGAGCAAACAGG